Molecule: ribosomal RNA, 297 nt
Filed under: Vreelandella subterranea
Lineage: Bacteria; Pseudomonadati; Pseudomonadota; Gammaproteobacteria; Oceanospirillales; Halomonadaceae
Description: Halomonas subterranea 23S rRNA. Bacterial LSU
Rfam family: Bacterial large subunit ribosomal RNA
Source: RNAcentral
UCCCUAUCUGCCGUGGGCGUUGGAUGUUUGAGAAGGGCUGCUCCUAGUACGAGAGGACCGGAGUGGACGCACCUCUGGUGUUCCGGUUGUCACGCCAGUGGCAUUGCCGGGUAGCUAUGUGCGGACGGGAUAACCGCUGAAAGCAUCUAAGCGGGAAGCCCCCUUCAAGAUGAGACAUCCCUGAGGCCGAGAGCCUCCUGAAGGGCCCAGCGAGACCAGCUGGUUGAUAGGCACGGUGUGGACGCGCUGCAAGGCGUUGAGCUAACGUGUACUAAUGGCCCGUGAGGCUUGACCCUA